UGGUAGCUCAGCUGGGAGAGCAUCUGCCUUACAAGCAGAGGGUCAGCGGUUCGAUCCCGUUAACUCCCAU
Molecule: transfer RNA, 70 nt
Filed under: Streptococcus pyogenes
Lineage: Bacteria; Bacillati; Bacillota; Bacilli; Lactobacillales; Streptococcaceae
Description: tRNA-Val(tac)
Rfam family: tRNA
About the family: Transfer RNA (tRNA) molecules are approximately 80 nucleotides in length. Their secondary structure includes four short double-helical elements and three loops (D, anti-codon, and T loops).
Source: RNAcentral